AGAGUUUGAUCAUGGCUCAGGAUGAACGCUAGCGACAGGCCUAACACAUGCAAGUCGAGGGGUAACAGGGGCUUCGGCCCGCUGACGACCGGCGCACGGGUGAGUAACGCGUAUGCAACCUACCUGUAACUGGGGGAUAGCUCCCUGAAAGGGGAAUUAACACCGCAUAAGACCACGCUAUCACAUGGUAAAGUGGUAAAAUAUUUAUAGGUUACAGAUGGGCAUGCGUGACAUUAGUUAGUUGGCGGGGUAACGGCCCACCAAGACUACGAUGUCUAGGGGUUCUGAGAGGAAGGUCCCCCACACUGGUACUGAGACACGGACCAGACUCCUACGGGAGGCAGCAGUGAGGAAUAUUGGUCAAUGGACGCAAGUCUGAACCAGCCAUGUCGCGUGCAGGAAGACUGCCCUAUGGGUUGUAAACUGCUUUUGUACGGGAAGAAAAUCAGCUACGUGUAGUUGUUUGCCGGUACCGUACGAAUAAGGAUCGGCUAACUCCGUGCCAGCAGCCGCGGUAAUACGGAGGAUCCGAGCGUUAUCCGGAUUUAUUGGGUUUAAAGGGUGCGUAGGCGGACUAGUAAGUCAGUGGUGAAAUCCUGCAGCUUAACUGUAGAAUUGCCGUUGAUACUGUUAGUCUUGAGUACAUUUGAGGUAGGCGGAAUGUGGUGUGUAGCGGUGAAAUGCAUAGAUAUACCACAGAACACCGAUUGCGAAGGCAGCUUACUAAACUGUAACUGACGCUGAGGCACGAAAGCGUGGGUAUCAAACAGGAUUAGAUACCCUGGUAGUCCACGCUGUAAACGAUGAUUACUGGUUGUUUGCGAUACAUUGCAAGUGACUGAGCGAAAGCAUUAAGUAAUCCACCUGGGGAGUACGUCGGCAACGAUGAAACUCAAAGGAAUUGACGGGGGCCCGCACAAACGGAGGAACAUGUGGGUUAAUUCUAUGAUACCCCAAGGAACCUUACCUGGGGUUUAAAUAGGGAAAUGACAAGGCUUGGAAAAAAGGCCCUUCUUUUGGAAAAUUUUUUAAGGGGCUGCCAGGGUUGUCCUCACCCCCCUGCCCCGAAGGGGUCCGGGUUAAUUCCCCUAACAAAAGGGCAACCCCUCUUCGUUAGUUUUUCACCCCCUCAAAGAGGGGGGGCGUUUUCUUAAUCUUCUUGUGUAUAUCU
Molecule: ribosomal RNA, 1171 nt
Filed under: uncultured bacterium
Lineage: Bacteria
Description: bacterial SSU rRNA
Rfam family: Bacterial small subunit ribosomal RNA
Source: RNAcentral